AGUGAACGCUGGCGGUAGGCCUACACAUGCAAGUCGAACGGCAGCACCGUAAGAGCUUGCUCUUACGGGUGGCGAGUGGCGGACGGGUGAGGAAUACAUCGGAAUCUACUUUUUCGUGGGGGAUAACGUAGGGAAACUUACGCUAAUACCGCAUACGACCUACGGGUGAAGGCAGGGGAUCUUCGGACCUUGCGCGAUUGAAUGAGCCGAUGUCGGAUUAGCUAGUUGGCGGGGUAAAGGCCCACCAAGGCGACGAUCCGUAGCUGGUCUGAGAGGAUGAUCAGCCACACUGGAACUGAGACACGGUCCAGACUCCUACGGGAGGCAGCAGUGGGGAAUAUUGGACAAUGGGCGCAAGCCUGAUCCAGCCAUACCGCGUGGGUGAAGAAGGCCUUCGGGUUGUAAAGCCCUUUUGUUGGGAAAGAAAAGCAGCAGGUUAAUACCCCGCUGUUCUGACGGUACCCAAAGAAUAAGCACCGGCUAACUUCGUG
RNAcentral lists this ribosomal RNA (491 nucleotides) under uncultured bacterium. Its description in RNAcentral is "partial 16S ribosomal RNA". It matches the Rfam family "Bacterial small subunit ribosomal RNA", at positions 29 to 507 of the family's 1533-position model. The record is from RNAcentral.